AGCUUUGCGCAAUGGCAGUAUCGUAGCCAAUGAGGUUUAUCCAAGGUGCAAUUAUUGCUAAUUGAAAACUUUUCCUAAAAACA
This is a small nuclear RNA of Heterocephalus glaber (naked mole-rat), 83 nucleotides long. Its record names the gene U4. It matches the Rfam family "U4 spliceosomal RNA". Rfam says of the family: U4 small nuclear RNA (U4 snRNA) is a component of the major U2-dependent spliceosome. The structure of U4 snRNA from yeast and human has been reported. U4 snRNA presents a k-turn RNA motif in the 5p-SL related to recognition of Snu13 protein. Lineage: Eukaryota; Metazoa; Chordata; Mammalia; Rodentia; Bathyergidae. The record is from Ensembl.